Molecule: ribosomal RNA, 454 nt
Filed under: Actinomyces sp. oral taxon 180
Lineage: Bacteria; Bacillati; Actinomycetota; Actinomycetes; Actinomycetales; Actinomycetaceae
Description: bacterial SSU rRNA
Rfam family: Bacterial small subunit ribosomal RNA
Source: RNAcentral
GACGAACGCGGCGGCGUGCUUAACACAUGCAAGUCGAACGCUGAAGCCUGGCUUUUGUUGGGUGGAUGAGUGGCGAACGGAUGAGUAACACGUGAGUAACCUGCCCCCUUCUUUGGGAUAACGCCCGGAAACGGGUGCUAAUACUGGAUAUUCACUGGUCUUCGCAUGGGGGUUGGUGGAAAGGGUUUUCUGGUGGGGGAUGGGCUCGCGGCCUAUCAGCUUGUUGGUGGGGUGAUGGCCUACCAAGGCUUUGACGGGUAGCCGGCCUGAGAGGGUGACCGGUCACAUUGGGACUGAGAUACGGCCCAGACUCCUACGGGAGGCAGCAGUGAGGAAUAUUGCACAAUGGGCGCAAGCCUGAUGCAGCGACGCCGCGUGAGGGAUGGAGGCCUUCGGGUUGUGAACCUCUUUCGCUCAUGGUCAAGCCGCAACUGUGGGUUGUGUGAGGUAGUGG